UACGAAGGGAGCUAGCGUUGUUCGGAAUCACUGGGCGUAAAGCGCACGUAGGCGGAUUGCUAAGUCAGGGGUGAAAUCCCGGGGCUCAACCUCGGAACUGCCUUUGAUACUGACAAUCUCGAGUCCGGAAGAGGUGGGUGGAAUUCCUAGUGUAGAGGUGAAAUUCGUAGAUAUUAGGAAGAACACCGGUGGCGAAGGCGGCCCACUGGUCCGGUACUGACGCUGAGGUGCGAAAGCGUGGGGAGCAAACAGG
RNAcentral lists this ribosomal RNA (253 nucleotides) under uncultured bacterium. RNAcentral describes it as "partial 16S ribosomal RNA". It matches the Rfam family "Bacterial small subunit ribosomal RNA", at positions 524 to 776 of the family's 1533-position model. The record is from RNAcentral.